This 460-nucleotide ribosomal RNA is filed under the name uncultured bacterium. Its description in RNAcentral is "partial 16S ribosomal RNA". It matches the Rfam family "Bacterial small subunit ribosomal RNA", at positions 338 to 795 of the family's 1533-position model. The record is from RNAcentral.
CCUACGGGAGGCAGCAGUGAGGAAUAUUGGUCAAUGGACGAGAGUCUGAACCAGCCAAGUAGCGUGAAGGAUGACUGCCCUAUGGGUUGUAAACUUCUUUUAUAAAGGAAUAAAACGAGGCACGUGUGCCUUUUUGCAUGUACUUUAUGAAUAAGGAUCGGCUCACUCAGUGCCAGCAGACGCGGUAAUACGGAGGAUCCGAGCGUUAUCCGGAUUUAUUGGGUUGAAAGGGAACGUAGAUGGGGUGUUAAGUCAGUUGUUAAAGUUUGCGGCUCAACCGUAAAAUUGCAAUUGAUACUGGCAGUCUUGAGUACAGUUGAGGUAGGCGGAAUUCGUGGUGUAGCGGUGAAAUGCUUAGAUAUCACGAAGAACCCCGAUUGCGAAGGCAGCUUACUAAACUGUGACUGACAUUGAUGCUCGAAAGUGUGGGUAUCAAACAGGAUUAGAUACCCCAGUAGUC